ACUGGACAGACCAUGUGUUUGUUAAUUGGUAAUUCCUUCAUGUCCUUGGAGAAGAGUCUCCUUAGAAUAUAUACCCUGUCCCAUCUCUCAGUGGUUCUUCCUUAUGGCUGUACUCAAUUCCUUUUUCUCUACUCAUCUCCCAAAAUCACCCAUCUGUAUUCCUUUUAAAUAAGAGAGACAUAAGGAACCUUAUGGUCUUGGCCUUAUAAUGUUUCCCUUUACAAGUUUUAAUCUAACAAGAAGGAAACUGAUGGGGCAAAAAAAAAAAAACCUAAAAAUGAACUGACACUUGUAGGCUAGGAGCAUCUUUAUAACAAUUGAAAUCCUGACCACUGACUGCUUUUACAUUUAGCUGGUGAAAAAAUGCAUAACCAGUUUAGACAUCUCCCAACUUAGUAUGUAGAAGAUCUAGACACUCUGUGAUGGGCUAUGGCCUGUUCCCUCUUUGCCUUGUCCCCUGAGUCAACAUGGGUCAGAUCAUACAUGUUUGUGAGUUGACUGAUGUGUGAUGCAUGUUGUUUGCAAGGCUCUCCCUCCCUCCUGACAUAUGCUGUUGGCACAGCCCCCG
RNAcentral lists this long non-coding RNA (568 nucleotides) under Bos taurus (domestic cattle). RNAcentral describes it as "long non-coding RNA NONBTAT024124". The record is from RNAcentral. Lineage: Eukaryota; Metazoa; Chordata; Mammalia; Artiodactyla; Bovidae.